GCUAAAUUCAAAUGAAGAAUUCAAAUGGGGGACAAGAGGUUGUGUUUAGGUAUGUCCAUCUCUGCUGCUUGAGAGGCUCAGGUCUGGCCCCCAGGUAAAUUGCUCUGUGAUUCUUAACCUAAAUGGCAAUUAAACAAUCCUCUGGAUCCUGGAUCUUACUGAAUAUUCACUACUAAAGAGAUGACAAAAUUUCAUUGAAGGGGGGGGAAUUAAAUGAAGACAAGGAUGCCAUGUUGAAUGUCCUUCCAUAAAUGAAAGAGAGACAGCAUUAAAGAUCAAGUUGAAGCUUUCUAUUUCUCAUCCCUUGUUCCUUUUUCUUCUCUUACCCAAAGGUUUCUUUUCAUAUUUUGGAGUCAAUAAAUCUUUCAUCAGGUCUCAAACAUUUAAAAGGCCCUUGCAAAGCUGGUAGACCGUGCACCCC
Long non-coding RNA from Sapajus apella (tufted capuchin), 421 nucleotides. RefSeq lists it as uncharacterized. The record is from RefSeq and is a predicted model, not a curated record. The transcript is spliced from 4 exons. Lineage: Eukaryota; Metazoa; Chordata; Mammalia; Primates; Cebidae.